Molecule: ribosomal RNA, 490 nt
Filed under: uncultured bacterium
Lineage: Bacteria
Description: bacterial SSU rRNA
Rfam family: Bacterial small subunit ribosomal RNA
Source: RNAcentral
AACUAACGCUGGCGGCGUGCCUAACACAUGCAAGUCGUACGAGAAAGCCGGCUUCGGCUGGUGAGUAAAGUGGCGCACGGGUGAGUAACGCGUGGAUAAUCUGCCCUUAAGUGUGGAAUAACGUACCGAAAGGUGCGCUAAUACCGCAUAAUGCCUGGCAACACAAGUUGUCCGGCCAAAGAAGGCCUCUGUUUACAAGCUUUCGCUUCAGGAUGAGUCCGCGUACCAUUAGCUUGUUGGUGGGGUAAUGGCCUACCAAGGCUGCGAUGGUUAGCUGGUCUGAGAGGAUGAUCAGCCACACUGGAACUGAGACACGGUCCAGACUCCUACGGGAGGCAGCAGUGAGGAAUAUUGCACAAUGGGGGAAACCCUGAUGCAGCGACGCCGCGUGGAGGAAGAAGGUCUUCGGAUUGUAAAGCACUUUUCGGGAGGAAGAGGAAGGACUGUACUCCCAGAAUAAGCCUCGGCUAACUACGUGCCAGCAGCCGAC